GUUCUCUACAAAUGCAAUUACACCCCUUCUCGUUUCGUGUGUAGGCGAGGCAAGUUGUUCUCUUCUUAAGCUGCUCGAGAUCAACUUGAUAAAAGUCUGAAGGAAUCCGGGUUUAAAGAGCUCGAGCUUAAAAGAAAGUUUGUUUAAUAAACAAGUUUGAGUCUGAGUUUUACUUAUUGAGCUCGAGCCAGCUUAUGAGACUAAAGUAGGGCUGUAAACGAACCGAACGUUCAGCGAACGGUUCGUGAACCGUUCGGCGGGAAGUUCGUUUAUGUUCGUUCGAUAAGCUUAACGAACGAACACGAACAAAAAAUUUUGUUCGAUAAGCUUAACGAACGAACACGAACAAAGGUCUCGUUCGUUCGACUGCGUUCGUGAACGUUCGGUAAUAUGUUCGUUCGUGUUUGUUCGUUUAUGUCCAUUCGUGUUCGUUCGUGUUUGGUCUUUUAUUUUCUCCCUUAA
Molecule: long non-coding RNA, 462 nt
Filed under: Helianthus annuus (common sunflower)
Lineage: Eukaryota; Viridiplantae; Streptophyta; Magnoliopsida; Asterales; Asteraceae
Description: hypothetical non coding rna
Source: RNAcentral